GUGCACGCUGGCGGUAGGCCUAACACCUGCAAGUCGCACGGCAGCACAGUAAGAGCUUGCUCUUACGGGUGGCGAGUGGCGGACGGGUGAGGAAUACAUCGGAAUCUACUUUUUCGUGGGGGAUAACGUAGGGAAACUUACGCUAAUACCGCAUACGACCUACGGGUGAAAGCAGGGGAUCUUCGGACCUUGCGCGAUCGAAUGAGCCGAUGUCGGAUUAGCUAGUUGGCGGGGUAAAGGCCCACCAAGGCGACGAUCCGUAGCUGGUCUGAGAGGAUGAUCAGCCACACUGGAACUGAGACACGGUCCAGACUCCUACGGGAGGCAGCAGUGGGGAAUAUUGGACAAUGGGCGCAAGCCUGAUCCAGCCAUACCACGUGGGUGAAGAAGGCCUUCGGGUUGUAAAGCCCUUUUGUUGGGAAAGAAAAGCAGCAGGUUAAUACCCCGCUGUUCUGACGGUACCCAAAGAAUAAGCACCGGCUAACUUCGUG
RNAcentral lists this ribosomal RNA (491 nucleotides) under uncultured bacterium. RNAcentral's name for it is "partial 16S ribosomal RNA". It matches the Rfam family "Bacterial small subunit ribosomal RNA", at positions 29 to 507 of the family's 1533-position model. The record is from RNAcentral.